UUAUGUGUUACUGUAGCAACCACAUUGAAAUUUGCUGUCUCAAAGUAUGAAUGGUUUUAUUAUGGCUGCACAAGGUGUUCUUCGAAGGCACCUAAUCCUGAAAAAGCUUAUGAAUGUUCAUGUGGGCAAAAAGUCGAACAGCCUAUACCAAGGUACAAGAUUGAGAUAUAUGUUAGCAAUGGUGAAUCAAAAUAUUGAUUUGUAUUCUGGGAUUUCGAAUGUGCUGCUAUACUUGGAAUGACUGCUGAAUUUAUGCAUAACUCUAUGGUGGAGAAUGGAGAAGAUGAUCCAAUGGUUUAUCCUGAUGAGCUUGAAAUGUUGUUGAAUAAGAAAAUGGCUUUUAGAGUUAAGGUGCAACCAACGUUUUCCCAAGCGUCUGUUUGGAAGCUUUGUGA
Molecule: long non-coding RNA, 395 nt
Organism: Lathyrus oleraceus (garden pea)
Lineage: Eukaryota; Viridiplantae; Streptophyta; Magnoliopsida; Fabales; Fabaceae
Exons: 3
Source: RefSeq, a predicted model, not a curated record